UUGUCCUUAGUUACCAGCACGUUAUGGUGGGCACUCUAAGGAGACUGCCGGUGACAAACCGGAGGAAGGUGGGGAUGACGUCAAGUCAUCAUGGCCCUUACGGCCUGGGCUACACACGUGCUACAAUGGUCGGUACAAAGGGUUGCCAAGCCGCGAGGUGGAGCUAAUCCCAUAAAACCGAUCGUAGUCCGGAUCGCAGCCUGCAACUCGACUGCGUGAAGUCGGAAUCGCUAGUAAUCGUGAAUCAGAAUGUCACGGUGAAUACGUUCCCGGGCCUU
Molecule: ribosomal RNA, 278 nt
Filed under: uncultured Pseudomonas sp.
Lineage: Bacteria; Pseudomonadati; Pseudomonadota; Gammaproteobacteria; Pseudomonadales; Pseudomonadaceae
Description: partial 16S ribosomal RNA
Rfam family: Bacterial small subunit ribosomal RNA
Source: RNAcentral